GUUAAGCGACUAAGCGUACACGGUGGAUGCCCUGGCAGUCAGAGGCGAUGAAGGACGUGCUAAUCUGCGAUAAGCGUCGGUAAGGUGAUAUGAACCGUUAUAACCGGCGAUUUCCGAAUGGGGAAACCCAGUGUGUUUCGACACACUAUCAUUAACUGAAUCCAUAGGUUAAUGAGGCGAACCGGGGGAACUGAAACAUCUAAGUACCCCGAGGAAAAGAAAUCAACCGAGAUUCCCCCAGUAGCGGCGAGCGAACGGGGAGCAGCCCAGAGCCUGAAUCAGUGUGUGUGUUAGUGGAAGCGUCUGGAAAGGCGCGCGAUACAGGGUGACAGCCCCGUACACAAAAAUGCACAUGCUGUGAGCUCGAUGAGUAGGGCGGGACACGUGGUAUCCUGUCUGAAUAUGGGGGGACCAUCCUCCAAGGCUAAAUACUCCUGACUGACCGAUAGUGAACCAGUACCGUGAGGGAAAGGCGAAAAGAACCCCGGCGAGGGGAGUGAAAAAGAACCUGAAACCGUGUACGUACAAGCAGUGGGAGCACGCUUAGGCGUGUGACUGCGUACCUUUUGUAUAAUGGGUCAGCGACUUAUAUUCUGUAGCAAGGUUAACCGAAUA
Molecule: ribosomal RNA, 615 nt
Filed under: Escherichia coli
Lineage: Bacteria; Pseudomonadati; Pseudomonadota; Gammaproteobacteria; Enterobacterales; Enterobacteriaceae
Description: partial 23S ribosomal RNA
Rfam family: Bacterial large subunit ribosomal RNA
Source: RNAcentral